AGCGAACGCUGGCGGCAGGCCUAACACAUGCAAGUCGAACGAACUCUUCGGAGUUAGUGGCGGACGGGUGAGUAACACGUGGGAACGUGCCCUUAGGUACGGAAUAACUCAGGGAAACUUGAGCUAAUACCGUAUGUGCCCUUCGGGGGAAAGAUUUAUCGCCAUUGGAGCGGCCCGCGUCUGAUUAGCUAGUUGGUGAGGUAAAGGCUCACCAAGGCUACGAUCAGUAGCUGGUCUGAGAGGAUGAUCAGCCACAUUGGGACUGAGACACGGCCCAAACUCCUACGGGAGGCAGCAGUGGGGAAUCUUGCGCAAUGGGCGAAAGCCUGACGCAGCCAUGCCGCGUGAAUGAUGAAGGUCUUAGGAUUGUAAAAUUCUUUCACCGGGGACGAUAAUGACGGUACCCGGAGAAGAAGCCCCGGCUAACUUCGUG
RNAcentral lists this ribosomal RNA (433 nucleotides) under uncultured bacterium. RNAcentral's name for it is "partial 16S ribosomal RNA". It matches the Rfam family "Bacterial small subunit ribosomal RNA", at positions 29 to 507 of the family's 1533-position model. The record is from RNAcentral.